This 512-nucleotide ribosomal RNA is filed under the name uncultured bacterium. RNAcentral describes it as "partial 16S ribosomal RNA". It matches the Rfam family "Bacterial small subunit ribosomal RNA", at positions 28 to 523 of the family's 1533-position model. The record is from RNAcentral.
GACGAACGCUGGCGGCGUGCCUAAUACAUGCAAGUCGAGCGGAUUGAUGGGGGCUUGCUCCCUGAUAUCAGCGGCGGACGGGUGAGUAACACGUGGGCAACCUGCCUAUAAGACUGGGAUAACUUCGGGAAACCGGAGCUAAUACCGGAUAAUCCCUUUCCUCUCAUGAGGAAAGGCUGAAAGAUGGUUUACGCUAUCACUUAUAGAUGGGCCCGCGGCGCAUUAGCUAGUUGGGGAGGUAACGGCUCACCAAGGCAACGAUGCGUAGCCGACCUGAGAGGGUGAUCGGCCACACUGGGACUGAGACACGGCCCAGACUCCUACGGGAGGCAGCAGUAGGGAAUCUUCCGCAAUGGACGAAAGUCUGACGGAGCAACGCCGCGUGAGUGAUGAAGGUUUUCGGAUCGUAAAACUCUGUUGUUAGGGAAGAACAAGUACGAGAGUAACUGCUCGUACCUUGACGGUACCUAACCAGAAAGCCACGGCUAACUACGUGCCAGCAGCCGCCGUAA